GAUGAACGCUGGCGGCGUGCCUAAUACAUGCAAGUCGAGCGGACGGACGAGAAGCUUGCUUCUCUGAUGUUAGCGGCGGGCGGGUGAGUAACACGUGGAUCACCUACCUAUAAGACUGGGAUAACUUCGGGAAACCGGAGCUAAUACCGGAUAAUAUUUUGAACCGCAUGGUUCAAAAGUUAAAUACGGUCUUGCUGUCACUUAUAGAUGGAUCCGCGCUGCAUUAGAUAGUUGGUAAGGUAACGGCUUACCAAGGCAACGAUGCAUAGCCGACCUGAGAGAGUGAUAGGCCACACUGGAACUGAGACACGGUCCAGAGUCCUACGGGAGGCAGCAGUAGGGAACGUUCCGCAAUGGGCGAAAGCAUGACGGAGCACCGCCGCGUGAGUGAUGAAGGCCUUCGGAUCGUAAAACCCUGUUAUUAGGGAAGAACAUAUGUGUAAGUAACUGUGGCCAUCUUGACGGUAACUAAUCAGAAAGCCACGGCUAACUACGUG
Molecule: ribosomal RNA, 497 nt
Filed under: uncultured bacterium
Lineage: Bacteria
Description: partial 16S ribosomal RNA
Rfam family: Bacterial small subunit ribosomal RNA
Source: RNAcentral